Molecule: ribosomal RNA, 244 nt
Filed under: uncultured bacterium
Lineage: Bacteria
Description: partial 16S ribosomal RNA
Rfam family: Bacterial small subunit ribosomal RNA
Source: RNAcentral
CAUGCUGUAAACGUUGGGCACUAGGUGUGGGGAUCGUUGUGGUUUCUGCGCCGUAGCUAACGCAUUAAGUGUCCCGCCUGGGGAGUACGGCCGCAAGGCUAAAACUCAAAGGAAUUGACGGGGACCCGCACAAGCAGUGGAGUAUGUGGUUUAAUUCGACGCAACGCGAAGAACCUUACCAAGGCUUGACAUCCUCUGACCGCUGUAGAAAUACAGCUUCUCUUCGGAGCAGAGAGACAGGUGG